GGCUGCGGCCGCCCGCCCCGCGCAGGGAAAAGCCCGACCGGGCCUUCUGCUCCGCAGAGGCCGGGUGGUUGAACUCCGCGCGGGUUUCCUAACCGCUAAAGGUGCCUUUCGGUGGUGGCUGUCUCAGAAGCACGUUAAAAUGUCCUACCCACCCCAAUCUAGAUGCGGCUGUGGGGGAAUGGGAGCGGCCGGACCUCCCAGCCUGACAGUGCAUCAAGAGCUUUGCGGAGCCUACAGCCCGGAUGGGACGACUGAGGCCCUCCCGCUGGCGAGCUGGCCGAGGGCUCGUCCCUCUCCAGCUAAAGCGCCAGCUUACGAUACAGCCAAACUGCCGGCUCUCAUCGGCUGUGGGAGCAGGAGGCCCCCAGGGGUAAAUCCCGGAGCCUCGUCUCUGAAGCCUGGCGCUUGUGUCUCAGAAGGUGGCCAUCAUCGAAUCCACUGAGGGCGCAAAUAGAACAAAAAGGUGAAGAAAAGGUGAAUUCUCUCCUUUCUUGAGCUGGGACAUCCAACUUCUCAGACAUCAGAGCUCCUGGAGGCCUUCAGACUCCGAGACAUUACACCAUUGGCUCACCUGGUCCUCAGGUCUUUGGACUUGGAAUGAAUUACACCAUUGGCUUUCCAGGUCUUCCAGCUUGCAGAUGGCAGAUUGUGGGACUUUUCAGCCUCCAUAACUUUGUCAUCCAAUUCCCAUAAUAAAUCGCCUCUUAUAUCUGUA
Homo sapiens (human) is the source of this 715-nucleotide long non-coding RNA. Ensembl annotates it as RELA divergent transcript. Its record names the gene RELA-DT. The record is from Ensembl. Lineage: Eukaryota; Metazoa; Chordata; Mammalia; Primates; Hominidae.